Molecule: ribosomal RNA, 600 nt
Filed under: uncultured bacterium
Lineage: Bacteria
Description: bacterial SSU rRNA
Rfam family: Bacterial small subunit ribosomal RNA
Source: RNAcentral
GAAUGAGGAAGCGGCGACUGUGAGUACGCGUGGGCAACCUGGCCUAGAAAGGAUAGCCCCCGGAAACGGGGAGUAUACUUUUAUGAGAAAUGAAGAGAGGGCAUCUAUCUUUUCAUUCAAAGCGCAAGCGCUUUAAGAUGGGGCCCGCGUUAUCAUUAGCUAGUUGGUGAGAUAACAGCCCACCAAGGCAACGAUGAUUAGCCGGUCUGAGAGGGCGAACGGCACAUUGGAACUGAGAGACGGUCCAAACUCCUACGGGAGGCAGCAGUGGGGAAUAUUGCGCAAUGGAGAAGAACUCUGACGCAGCAAUACCGCGUGAGCGAAGAAGGUCUUCGGAUCGUAAAGCUCUGUUAUCAGGGAAGAAGAAAAUGACGGUACCUGAUGAGCAAGUCCCGGCUAACUACGUGCCAGCAGCCGCGGUAAUACGUAGGGGACAAGCGUUGUCCGGAAUCACUGGGCGUAAAGGGCGCGCAGGCGGUGAUUUAAGCAGGAUGUGAAAGGCUACGGUCAACCGUAGACAUUGCACCCUGGAACUGGGUCACUUGAGUAUUGGAGAGGCAGGCAGAAUUCCUGGUUGUAGCGGUGAAAAUGCGUAAGAUU